GGGGCUGUAGCUCAAUGGGCUAGAGCACGCCGCUCGCACCGGCAAGACUCGGGUUCGAUUCCCGGCGGCUCCACCA
Molecule: transfer RNA, 76 nt
Filed under: uncultured bacterium
Lineage: Bacteria
Description: tRNA-Ala
Rfam family: tRNA
About the family: Transfer RNA (tRNA) molecules are approximately 80 nucleotides in length. Their secondary structure includes four short double-helical elements and three loops (D, anti-codon, and T loops).
Source: RNAcentral